RNAcentral lists this ribosomal RNA (253 nucleotides) under uncultured prokaryote. Its description in RNAcentral is "partial 16S ribosomal RNA". It matches the Rfam family "Bacterial small subunit ribosomal RNA", at positions 524 to 776 of the family's 1533-position model. The record is from RNAcentral.
UACGUAGGGUGCAAGCGUUAAUCGGAAUUACUGGGCGUAAAGCGUGCGUAGGCGGUCCUCCAAGUCCGCUGUGAAAGCCCCGGGCUUAACCUGGGAACUGCGUUUGAAACUGGGGAGCUGGAGUGUAGAAGAGGGGGGUGGAAUUCCAGGUGUAGCAGUGAAAUGCGUAGAGAUCUGGAGGAACACCGAUGGCGAAGGCAGCCCCCUGGGCUAACACUGACGCUCAUGCACGAAAGCGUGGGGAGCAAACAGG